This is a long non-coding RNA of Gossypium raimondii (Peruvian cotton), 3357 nucleotides long. RefSeq lists it as uncharacterized. NCBI's taxonomy places the organism in Eukaryota, Viridiplantae, Streptophyta, Magnoliopsida, Malvales, Malvaceae. The record is from RefSeq and is a predicted model, not a curated record. The transcript is spliced from 2 exons.
UCCUUGUAAAAUAAUUCAAUAAUUAUUUGAGCCUUUAAUAGAAAACAACAUAAUUAACCCUUAAUCGAAUUAAAAUAAUAGCUCAAGUAACUCGUUUACAGCAUUUGAUUUCAAAAUCUAAAUCAUAACAAAACUAUAUCCUACUAUAAUUGCAAUUUCCAGUUUCAUCUUCUACUCACUAACAAAUCAAGAACAAUUUCCAGCAGACUAUCAAAACAAUUUUCAGAACAAAUCAAGAACAAUAUUAAAACAAAUGUAACAAUUUCCAGUUUCAUCUUCUACUCACUAACAACGAGAAGCUAAUAUCUAAAUUGAAAAAACAACACUAUCAACAAUUUCCAUUGUAAACUCUUUCAAAAAACAGCAGACUAUCAAAAAACUAUCUGAAUUGAAAACAGCAGACAGUUUUCAUUGCUCACUGUAUCAAUACGAAUAUUUUAGCACAAUGUAUCAAUAUAGACUCUGAUUUUAGAAGACAUUGUGCACAAGACACAAUUUUAUCAAAUUUAUUUUACAAGCUAAACCUGAAGUUAAACAUCAAUACAUACUUGCCCUUAUGCCUUAAAACUCUUUGGAUUACAUAACAAAGGAAAAGAAACAGCAAUACAAACAUGCAAUCGGGGAAAACUAACCUUUCAAUACAGACUUGCAAUACAGAAUAUUUUAGCACAAUGUAUGAAUACAGACUCUGAUUCUAAAAUUUAGCUGAGUAUGAACCAAAGUUUGUUAGACUGAGCAAAAUAGAUAAUAAAAUUUAGGUUUCCAAUGCUACCUUAAGAAAAAUGAAAAUUGCGAACACAAACAGAUAAUCAAGACAUAAAGCAAAGAAAAACACAUUAAAGGAAAAAUAAUACAGCAUAACAAAUAAUAUACUAUUAAAAAAUAUCAUCUCAAAACAAAAGGAAAAUCAGAGUGAAACCACACGUAAAUGAAGAAACAAUCAAGAGAUAGAAAAAUUAUAUCUAACAACAACUAUUCAAGGGGAACAAAUGAUAUCAAUAGAUGUCUCGCUCACGAAUAUGAUUCCUCAGUUCAUAUCAGAAAUCUUAGUGCUUGCAUUGCCAAAUAUAUGGACCUCAUGGUACUAAUAAUCCUUACAUACAAAGCAUCCCUAUUGCACUAUAUUCAUCAUUUCAGCAAAGCCAACUGACAGAUCAAAUUCCAUUUAAGUUCUAACAAAGGCAAUCAUUGAAAAUAGCACUUAACAUGGAAGUAAAGAUGAAAUAGAGCAGCUUCAAAUAGAUCUCAAGCUUAAAACAGUUCAAGAUCGGUUCAGCUUGAUUGCAACCCUAGUUUGUGGUUAGUGUUACAUGAAGCAGGCUCAUUAUUAAAGUAUCUAGUAAUCACCUGUUGAAACUAUUUUAUGUAAAUGGAUUGAUGCUAACUAGUUGGCAUUUUUAAAUCAGGAGGGUAAUGAAUCCUAACAAUAUAUGCUAAACUUGAUUUUUUUUUUGGAUAAACUUUGUUUUUUUUAUUUAUCCAAAGGAAACAACAAAAGCUGCUAUAGCAAUACAAACAUGCAAUCGGGGAAAACUAACCUUUCAAUCGAACAUGCAAUACAAAUAUUGAAAAUACCUAUGGAAAACUAUUCUGUAAUGAGCAAAUCGGGGAAGAGUGCGAUGAAGAAGUGUUGGAACAAAGAACCUGUAAUGAGAAAAGGGAAAUCGAUUAAGUGAACAUUGCAAUAAUCGAUGAAGAAGAACCUGCAAUAAUCGAUGAAGAAAAGGAAGAGUGUGAUGAAACGAAACCAUAUAUAUAUACAUAUAUCAUGAUCAACAACCAAACAAAUAAUGAAAAAAAAUCAUUAAAAUUGCCGAUUUACCAAGAACUGAAACAAUCGCACCAAAAACUUGUAUUUAUAAAAAAAUUACAACAACACCCAUUAAAAUUGCAUGCAGGGAGGAAAGAAAUAGAGGUUACUCACAUGCGGAGAUUACUCACUUGCCGCUUCAAAGCGUCUAGAGAUCUAAGACCGUCGAGUCGGCGAAAGAUGCAAACAUGAAAGUCGAGAGCGACUGGAGGUUUGGUUCGCUGGUGCGUUCUGCUGAUGUUGGGAGGGAGAGGGUGGGGUGGAGAUCGAUUUCACCAAGGGGAGGGUAAAAUAGAGAUCGAUUACCUAAUCUUUGCUUUUGCAAGGGAUUAGAAAUCGGCGCUGAAGUAAAAAAAAUACCGAAUCCGUCCGCAACGUAAUAGGCCCGUAUUAGGGCAAUACAGCGAACCAAACGGCGUAUUGAGUGGGGCCACCGAAUCGGGGUGUAAUGGUUAAUCCAUUACACCCAACCAAACAUGGUGUUAGGGUUUUCGUAAUUUUUCCAAUUUUUUCUAUCUUCAUCGUCUCCUCACUAUUAGGAAAAAAGGAUUUAGGGCUUCAUUCUUUCUCAAUAUCAGUAAUGGAAGGAUUACAGGCUGAGCAAAAAAAUAGAGGGAUUACAGGAUCUGGGUUGACCUUUCGUCUCGCAAUCCGUGCGGCCUUAGGCGAUCCGUUUGCUCCAAACUCGCCUAAGUCAGCCUUUACGCCCAAAAGUGAGGAUUCUUUAGAACUCCUCCAAGGCACCAAUUUGUAUAGCGGAAGCGAUUGUGCCAAAAGAAGUUACAAGUGAACAACAGAAAGCCAAAGAAAGAAUGCAUACAAAGUGUUUGAGUAAAUGCUCAAAGAAUUCUAUUACUCUUAAGAAUUCAGCUUACAAUGGAUGAGUACAAAUGAGGGGGAGGCUCUCUUUUAUAGUUGAGCUCCCCCAAAACCGACGGUCAAGAUACAUUUACAUCAACAGACGAGAUUCACCAUAUCCUUUGAUUUUGGGGAUUUACAAGAUUUGCCAUAUCUAAUCUAAUCUUUACAAGAUAUGAUUCUCUCUAUCUUCUAAGAUUAGUUACUAAAAUUAGCCUAAGUUGCCAUGUCUUCAUUAUUGGGCCAACCAGGCUUCAAUCUGACAAGCUUCUUUAAUAGCUCUCUGAAUCGGGCCAGUUCUCGUGGGAUAAAUGUUUCCCAUCUAAUUGAUAGACCUCCAUGGGGUGCUUCUUGUGCCAUGGUCACGAGCUUUACACUUUGGCUCGUGACACUUGUAUCUCAAAUCUUUUCUCUUUGUCAAUGGGGGUUUUGCAUUUUAUAUAGCGGGUUGAUUAUCAUUCUGAGUUUUUGCCAUUUGAUAAAAGAGAGAUUGAAAGAUAAGUGAACAAUAAGGAUAGUGGAUAACAAUGAACAGAGAAAGAGAGAAUAAGGGUUUUCCUUUUCCUUUUUCUUUCCCUUUGUUGUUGUUGUUGAGAGCUUGGGGGUGGGUUUUCUUUUCUUUUUACUGGAAACAUAUGUUGGUAUUGAUUUGUCUAAAUUUUAGAAUUUACAAUUGUUGUUUUUGUUAA